Molecule: long non-coding RNA, 357 nt
Filed under: Notechis scutatus (mainland tiger snake)
Lineage: Eukaryota; Metazoa; Chordata; Lepidosauria; Squamata; Elapidae
Description: lncRNA (ENSNSUG00000011012.1)
Source: RNAcentral
GUUUCGUAUCUUGUGGUGUACAUUUUCAUUUCUCUUAUAAUGUCCUGGUCUUGCUUCAAUUCUAGGGAACAGGAUAACUGGUGGAUGGUAAGGAAGAACAAUACAACAUAUCCAGAGAUUCAAGGGAUGUGAUCUCAACUUCAACCUUUAUUAUGCUAAUCAAAAGUAAUGCCAGUACUGAAUUUGUGGAUUUCUCCAAAUCAAAGAGAAUUAACCAAACGGAGGGUCCCGGGAUAUUUGCUGAUCUUGUUGAACUUUUGUUUCCUGUCUUUUCCCACUGAGUUUCACAUUCUGAUAGGAUGGAGCUGAAAAUCUGCUCAAGGAGAUGUCUGAAAUAAAAUGGUCAAGAGGGCUGCA